AAACUGACGGGGGCCCGCACAAGCGGUGGAGCAUUGUGGUUUAAUUCGAAGCAACGCGAAGAACCUUUACCAGGUUCUUGACAUCCCGAUGCUAUUUCUAGAGAUAGAAAGUUACUUCGGUACAUCGGUGACAGGUGGUGCAUGGUUGUCGUCAGCUCGUGUCGUGAGAUGUUGGGUUAAGUCCCGCAACGAGCGCAACCCCUAUUGUUAGUUGCCAUCAUUCAGUUGGGCACUCUAGCGAGACUGCCGGUAAUAAACCGGAGGAAGGUGGGAUGACGUCAAAUCAUCAUGCCCCUUAUGACCUGGGCUACACACGUGCUACAAUGGUUGGUACAACGAGUUGCGAGUCGGUGACGGCGAGCUAAUCUCUUAAAGCCAAUCUCAGUUCGGAUUGUAGGCUGCAACUCGCCUACAUGAAGUCGGAAUCGCUAGUAAUCGCGGAUCAGCACGCCGCGGUGAAUACGUUCCCGGGCCUU
This 476-nucleotide ribosomal RNA is filed under the name uncultured Streptococcus sp. RNAcentral describes it as "bacterial SSU rRNA". It matches the Rfam family "Bacterial small subunit ribosomal RNA", at positions 908 to 1382 of the family's 1533-position model. Lineage: Bacteria; Bacillati; Bacillota; Bacilli; Lactobacillales; Streptococcaceae. The record is from RNAcentral.